Molecule: ribosomal RNA, 775 nt
Filed under: uncultured Neocallimastigales
Lineage: Eukaryota; Fungi; Neocallimastigomycota; Neocallimastigomycetes; Neocallimastigales
Description: partial large subunit ribosomal RNA
Rfam family: Eukaryotic large subunit ribosomal RNA
Source: RNAcentral
AGAGAGAGACAUGCGCGCAUAUCAAUAAGCGGAGGAAAAGAAACUAACAAGGAUUCCCCUAGUAACGGCGAGUGAAGCGGGAAGAGCUCAAAUUUGAAAUCUUAAAGGGUUUCCCUUUACGAAUUGUAGUUUAAAGAAGUGUUUUCUGUUGAGGUUUUGGUAAAAGUUCUUUGGAAUAGGACAUCAUAGAGGGUGAGAAUCCCGUAUUUGACCUUUACUUUCAACUUUGUGAUACACUUUCAAAGAGUCGGAUUGUUUGGGAAUGCAGUCCAAAAUGGGUGGUAAAUUUCAUCUAAAGCUAAAUAUUGGCGAGAGACCGAUAGCGAACAAGUACCGUGAGGGAAAGAUGAAAAGAACUUUGAAAAGAGAGUUAAACAGUACGUGAAAUUGUCAAAAGGGAAGCGUUUGACACCAGUGUUGUUUUUCUGAAAAUCAAUUAAAGAACUGUUUAUGCUAAGUCUGUUUAGACUUUAUCAGCUAUCUGUUUAGUUUUGAGCUUUUCUUUAAUGCACUUUUCAGUUAACAAGUCAACAUCAAUUUCUUUUGCUGUAAAAAAGCUUGAGGAAGGUGGCUUGAGAUUCGUCUUAAGUGUUUAUAGCCUCUUGCCUAUGCAGUCGGAGAGAUUGAGGUCUGCAGCGUAGAUCCUUCGGGGCUAAAUGCAUUUGUGCUAAGUUAUAGCAUUUUAUAGACAACUUGUUGACUAUGAUUUGUCUUGUAGCUUACUCGCUUAUGUUAUUUUACCUACGCUUAGGAUGUUGAUGUGAUACUGCGAGCU